This is a long non-coding RNA of Homo sapiens (human), 778 nucleotides long. RefSeq lists it as uncharacterized. Lineage: Eukaryota; Metazoa; Chordata; Mammalia; Primates; Hominidae. The record is from RefSeq and is a predicted model, not a curated record. The transcript is spliced from 2 exons.
CCCUGAUGGGAGGGAGCCCAUUGACCCCGGGAUAAUAGAUGAAAGUGUUUUCUCACUUGCCUUCCCCUCCUGACCCCUUGCCACCAUUUUUCAUGCACUGUCUCCUCUUCAGCCAGACGGAGGAAUUCUUCCUCUGAUGAUGAAGGCCCAAUGACCCUCUCCCGCAUCCCGUAAGCUGGCUGCUUGCGGAGGAUUGCCCAAAGGGGUCCCUGCAUAAUGCAACUAAACCAAGCAAGGGUCACUUCCUUUCCACCCCCGCUUCUACGUGUGCACACAUCAACUCACACCCCAAAGCACAGGAGCAGUGCUUGUAAAAAAUUCAAAUUAGUGCAUUUAUUCAUUUGCUUGUUUGUUUGCUUGUCCAGUGUGUUUGACCUCUUGGUGAAUCCACCCAAGACAAAAUGAGUUCCCAAUUCAAUGCCCAAAGUCUUCCCCAUCCCCACUGUCUUCUCAAAAGGGCCAGGUCACCAAGCACAUGGGGGCAGCAGAGCAAGUUGCAAAGUCUAUCCAGUGGAUGGCACAACUGCAAGGACCAUGGAUCAUCCAGCAAAGCCCAGGCUUGGUCUUACCAUUUGCUCCCUGAAUCUGUCAUGCAAUCAACAUGCUGGGUUGCUGGUGAGUACAAGAAAAUUAGGAUGACUGCGGAACAGACCUGAACCUACCUGAAGCCUCAGAGACGAGCUCAGCCUCGCCUCAGCCUGAAGCAGAACAGUCCUGGCUGACCCACAGGUAGACUGCAGAGAAAGAAAAAUAAAUGGUCUGUUGCAUUUGUUAUAGG